RNAcentral lists this ribosomal RNA (931 nucleotides) under Acinetobacter lwoffii. RNAcentral's name for it is "bacterial SSU rRNA". It matches the Rfam family "Bacterial small subunit ribosomal RNA", at positions 163 to 1088 of the family's 1533-position model. The record is from RNAcentral. Lineage: Bacteria; Pseudomonadati; Pseudomonadota; Gammaproteobacteria; Moraxellales; Moraxellaceae.
CUAAUACCGCAUACGUCCUACGGGAGAAAGCAGGGGACCUUCGGGCCUUGCGCUAAUAGAUGAGCCUAAGUCGGAUUAGCUAGUUGGUGGGGUAAAGGCCUACCAAGGCGACGAUCUGUAGCGGGUCUGAGAGGAUGAUCCGCCACACUGGGACUGACACACGGCCCAGACUCCUACGGGAGGCAGCAGUGGGGAAUAUUGGACAAUGGGGGGAACCCUGAUCCAGCCAUGCCGCGUGUGUGAAGAAGGCCUUUUGGUUGUAAAGCACUUUAAGCGAGGAGGAGGCUACCGAGAUUAAUACUCUUGGAUAGUGGACGUUACUCGCAGAAUAAGCACCGGCUAACUCUGUGCCAGCAGCCGCGGUAAUACAGAGGGUGCAAGCGUUAAUCGGAUUUACUGGGCGUAAAGCGCGCGUAGGUGGCCAAUUAAGUCAAAUGUGAAAUCCCCGAGCUUAACUUGGGAAUUGCAUUCGAUACUGGUUGGCUAGAGUAUGGGAGAGGAUGGUAGAAUUCCAGGUGUAGCGGUGAAAUGCGUAGAGAUCUGGAGGAAUACCGAUGGCGAAGGCAGCCAUCUGGCCUAAUACUGACACUGAGGUGCGAAAGCAUGGGGAGCAAACAGGAUUAGAUACCCUGGUAGUCCAUGCCGUAAACGAUGUCUACUUGCCGUUGGGGCCUUUGAGGCUUUAGUGGCGCAGCUAACGCGAUAAGUAGACCGCCUGGGGAGUACGGUCGCAAGACUAAAACUCAAAUGAAUUGACGGGGGCCCGCACAAGCGGUGGAGCAUGUGGUUUAAUUCGAUGCAACGCGAAGAACCUUACCUGGUCUUGACAUAGUAAGAACUUUCCAGAGAUGGAUUGGUGCCUUCGGGAACUUACAUACAGGUGCUGCAUGGCUGUCGUCAGCUCGUGUCGUGAGAUGUUGGGUUAAGUCCC